Non-coding RNA from Lolium perenne, 254 nucleotides. Lineage: Eukaryota; Viridiplantae; Streptophyta; Magnoliopsida; Poales; Poaceae. The record is from RefSeq and is a predicted model, not a curated record.
CAGUGGACGAGCAACCAGAUGGCGAGUUUCACUCGGUUCAUGAUGACUGGAGUGCGAGAGGAACCACUCCCAGAGCCACCUCAUCCGGGGCCGACGCCAGUGUUCCCGUCCAAGGAGGAGUUCUAUAUCAUGUACAAGCGUCAGCGUCAGUUGACCCCGGGAUUGGGAGAAUCCGGGAACGACACUCCUUGUGGUACGCCGAUGCACCCCGGUCGCCAUUCUCCUGGUGCUUCUGCCGAACCUCGGCAUUUUUC